Molecule: ribosomal RNA, 468 nt
Filed under: uncultured bacterium
Lineage: Bacteria
Description: partial 16S ribosomal RNA
Rfam family: Bacterial small subunit ribosomal RNA
Source: RNAcentral
GACGAACGCUGGCGGCGUGCUUAACACAUGCAAGUCGAACGGAAAGGCCCUGCUUUUGUGGGGUGCUCGAGUGGCGAACGGGUGAGUAACACGUGAGUAACCUGCCCUUGACUUUGGGAUAACUUCAGGAAACUGGGGCUAAUACCGGAUAGGAGCUCCUGCUGCAUGGUGGGGGUUGGAAAGUUUCGGCGGUUGGGGAUGGACUCGCGGCUUAUCAGCUUGUUGGUGGGGUAGUGGCUUACCAAGGCUUUGACGGGUAGCCGGCCUGAGAGGGUGACCGGCCACAUUGGGACUGUGAUACGGCCCAGACUCCUACGGGAGGCAGCAGUGGGGAAUAUUGCACAAUGGGCGGAAGCCUGAUGCAGCAACGCCGCGUGCGGGAUGACGGCCUUCGGGUUUUAAACCGCUUUCGCCUGUGGCGAAGCGUGAGUGACGGUAAUGGGUAAAGAAGCACCGGCUAACUACGUG